RNAcentral lists this ribosomal RNA (1528 nucleotides) under Klebsiella pneumoniae. Its description in RNAcentral is "bacterial SSU rRNA". It matches the Rfam family "Bacterial small subunit ribosomal RNA". The record is from RNAcentral. Lineage: Bacteria; Pseudomonadati; Pseudomonadota; Gammaproteobacteria; Enterobacterales; Enterobacteriaceae.
AGAGUUUGAUCAUGGCUCAGAUUGAACGCUGGCGGCAGGCCUAACACAUGCAAGUCGAGCGGUAGCACAGAGAGCUUGCUCUCGGGUGACGAGCGGCGGACGGGUGAGUAAUGUCUGGGAAACUGCCUGAUGGAGGGGGAUAACUACUGGAAACGGUAGCUAAUACCGCAUAACGUCGCAAGACCAAAGUGGGGGACCUUCGGGCCUCAUGCCAUCAGAUGUGCCCAGAUGGGAUUAGCUAGUAGGUGGGGUAACGGCUCACCUAGGCGACGAUCCCUAGCUGGUCUGAGAGGAUGACCAGCCACACUGGAACUGAGACACGGUCCAGACUCCUACGGAGGCAGCAGUGGGGAAUAUUGCACAAUGGGCGCAAGCCUGAUGCAGCCAUGCCGCGUGUGUGAAGAAGGCCUUCGGGUUGUAAAGCACUUUCAGCGGGGAGGAAGGCGUUAAGGUUAAUAACCUUGGCGAUUGACGUUACCCGCAGAAGAAGCACCGGCUAACUCCGUGCCAGCAGCCGCGGUAAUACGGAGGGUGCAAGCGUUAAUCGGAAUUACUGGGCGUAAAGCGCACGCAGGCGGUCUGUCAAGUCGGAUGUGAAAUCCCCGGGCUCAACCUGGGAACUGCAUUCGAAACUGGCAGGCUAGAGUCUUGUAGAGGGGGGUAGAAUUCCAGGUGUAGCGGUGAAAUGCGUAGAGAUCUGGAGGAAUACCGGUGGCGAAGGCGGCCCCCUGGACAAAGACUGACGCUCAGGUGCGAAAGCGUGGGGAGCAAACAGGAUUAGAUACCCUGGUAGUCCACGCCGUAAACGAUGUCGAUUUGGAGGUUGUGCCCUUGAGGCGUGGCUUCCGGAGCUAACGCGUUAAAUCGACCGCCUGGGGAGUACGGCCGCAAGGUUAAAACUCAAAUGAAUUGACGGGGGCCCGCACAAGCGGUGGAGCAUGUGGUUUAAUUCGAUGCAACGCGAAGAACCUUACCUGGUCUUGACAUCCACAGAACUUUCCAGAGAUGGAUUGGUGCCUUCGGGAACUGUGAGACAGGUGCUGCAUGGCUGUCGUCAGCUCGUGUUGUGAAAUGUUGGGUUAAGUCCCGCAACGAGCGCAACCCUUAUCCUUUGUUGCCAGCGGUUAGGCCGGGAACUCAAAGGAGACUGCCAGUGAUAAACUGGAGGAAGGUGGGGAUGACGUCAAGUCAUCAUGGCCCUUACGACCAGGGCUACACACGUGCUACAAUGGCAUAUACAAAGAGAAGCGACCUCGCGAGAGCAAGCGGACCUCAUAAAGUAUGUCGUAGUCCGGAUUGGAGUCUGCAACUCGACUCCAUGAAGUCGGAAUCGCUAGUAAUCGUAGAUCAGAAUGCUACGGUGAAUACGUUCCCGGGCCUUGUACACACCGCCCGUCACACCAUGGGAGUGGGGUUGCAAAAGAAGUAGGUAGCUUAACCUUCGGGAGGGCGCUUACCACUUUGUGAUUCAUGACUGGGGUGAAGUCGUAACAAGGUAACCGUAGGGGAACCUGCGGUUGGAUCACCU